AAAUUGCCCCUUAAGUUUUGCAACUGUAGCAGUUUUGACCCCCAAUGUCAAAAAUAAAAUAACACGUGACACCUCACUUAGGAUGUCACGUCAGCGUAGACCGAAUCAAAAUUGGUUUUGGGGCCAAAACUGCCACAGGUGCAAAACUUAAGGGGCGGUUU
RNAcentral lists this microRNA precursor (161 nucleotides) under Medicago truncatula (barrel medic). RNAcentral's name for it is "MIR2619 microRNA precursor family". It matches the Rfam family "MIR2619 microRNA precursor family". The record is from Rfam by way of RNAcentral. Lineage: Eukaryota; Viridiplantae; Streptophyta; Magnoliopsida; Fabales; Fabaceae.